GAGUUAGAAAAAUUGAUUUUAAAUAAAUGAAUUUUUAAUAAUAAUUUUUUUUUGAAAAGACUAAUUGAAACAAUUCACCUAAAACCCCAAAAUUAGUAGAACUGCUCAUGCAUGUAAUGAUAGUGACGUAGAUGUAAUGCUAGAAUGAAAAAAGUAAAUAAAAUUUACAAAAAUGUAUAAGAUUAGAAUCAAGUUUUUAAUAAUUUUUCAACCUUGAUGUGCAUGGCACACGUUAAAGUAUGGGUGGCUCUAGCUCCUGCAUACACCAAAUACUGGACUAUCAAGAUUAUUACUAUAUUUUUUUAUAAGGACUCAAGCUUAUUACUUGCUUCAGCAAAAAGUUGAUUCAAUUGGCGUUAGAAUCUCAAGAAUUGGUGACGAUAAGACCUGACAUUUCUUCUAACAACAGUUGCUGGCAAGUGCAAAAAGGAAAAGAAAACAAGGUGAAGAUGAAAGCAAUACAGACUCAUUCAUAGAAACUAAAUUGAUUAUUAAUCUGAUCAACAUUAUUUUCAAUCUGAUCACGAUUUCACUUUCUCAUUUCUUUCUUUUCCGAUGCAAUUGUUUUUUUUUUUUUAACUUAUUUUAAUAUUUUACUUACUUUUAUUUUUCUCACUGAGCUCUUGAUACCCUUGGACGGGUCCAACAAGAGUCAUAUGAAUGAAAGUUUUUCUAAAAAAAAUAAAAGACUCCAAAUCUCAAAAUUUGUUCAAGGUCAGACAAAAAGUCAAAAUUGGCCUAAACUUACUCGAUCAUAAUAAGGCAAGUAAAAGUAAUAUAAAUAAUUUUUUUUUUCAAGGCAAGUAGAGUUUUUAGAGUCUCAAAACUUACUCGAGAUGGGGCAAAAAGCCUAAGUCUGCCUCAAUUGUGUGACCCGGAUUAAGUCGAGCAAGUUUAUUUAUGUUUUCAUUUUUAGUGAAAAUUUUAUUUUCAAAUGUCGAGAUUAUGACUAUUAUGUUGGAAUAAGAAAAUUUUUGAUGAAAACCAUCACCUAUAUCUAAAGAAUAUUCAUGUUGGGGGAUGUAGAAAAAUAAUUUAACGAAGGUUAAAUUAAAUAAUAGUAAGAUAUAAAAACUGAAAUGUGAAUAUAAUUUUUUUUAUUUAAUGCAAUCUCUAGUUAAAAUAUGGCACCCACAAUUCAAUAAUUAGAAAUUAUAAAUAUUUUAAGCUGUGGGCUUUGAUUUUUAAGACAAAGUAUAACUUUUGUAAUUAAUAAAAUAAUAGUUUAAAAUUUAAAGGAUGAGACUAUCUAAUCAUUUGACAAUACUAUUUAGAAAUAUAUUAAAUUUUCUUUAUAAAAUAAAUAUUUUUUUUCCAGUGGGGGCUUGAGCCCCCAAUGGUCCUAUAGUGAAUCCGCCUCUGUGUUGUAUCACCAAGAAUCAAUAACGAAUUAUGCAGAAGUGUACCUGAAUCUAUAACGCUGAAUUGCUCUCUAGAGUUGUGUGGAUAGCCUUCUAGAUCUACAUAUUCUCUUAGAGAAUCGUUUAAUAUUCUCUGGGAUGUUAGUAGAGAAUAGAAAGAUACGUGUGACCUGAGGAUCAUAACCACUUAUAUAGAACUAUUUUUCUUGUUAUCACUGGGUAUUUCUAAUUCUGCACAUCAUAAAAUUAUAAUAUCAUUGGGUCUCUAUACAUUAAAGGCUCAACCCUAUUAGAUACAUUAAAGCCCGUAAUACCGAAAACCUUAAUAGAUCACUUUUAAUUGGGCUUAACUUUAGAUGACAGUUUAAAAUACAUAAUUAUUCACAUAUAAGCCCAACAUUGGAUUAAGGAUCCAAAAAAUAUUAGAUUAAAAAUCCAACAUAUUAAACCAUUGGGACCACAAAAUAUAACUCUCUUUGCAAAUUUGGCAUAUUAGGGAUGACAAAAUCUAGAUCUGUAUAUAGGUGCAUCUAGAUCUUGAUCUGCAUUAAUAUUUUGAGAUCUAGAUCCAGAUGCAGGUAAUAUUUGUUCAGAUUGUGGGCGGAUUUUUCAGGUAUUCAGGUCCGCAUAACACCAAAUUUAAAAUUUCACAUACAUUUGAGAUUUAACAGUUUUAACUAAGAAAAUGAAAUAAAAUUCAAUCAUAAUUUAACAAUUAAUAAUUCAAUAUCUAGAUUAACAUAUAACAACACUAUAAAUUCACAAAUAAAAAUAUGGUUAGCUAAGGAUGCUAAAUAUCUGUGAUAGUAAAAAAGAUGUAAUUAAAAAAAAUUGAUUUCUAUCUACAUUAUGGACGGUUAAGGCAACAAAAUCAAUGUUUUGAUUGGAAAAUCGAGAGGGAUGAGAGAGAGGGAAAUAAAUAUUUUGAAAAUCAUGAAUAAAGAUUGAAAGUGAGGGAUCAGAAGAUCAAUUCAAAUAUUUAGUAAUUAAUUUCAAAGAUUAAAUUUUGGGUGGAGAUAUUUCCACUCCAUAAAUUCAGUAAAUCCACCCU
Molecule: long non-coding RNA, 2412 nt
Filed under: Citrus x clementina
Lineage: Eukaryota; Viridiplantae; Streptophyta; Magnoliopsida; Sapindales; Rutaceae
Description: Citrus clementina (C. clementina) long non-coding RNA (CCLE_LNC003421)
Source: RNAcentral